This 45-nucleotide ribosomal RNA is filed under the name Ziziphus mauritiana (Indian jujube). RNAcentral's name for it is "partial 28S ribosomal RNA". The record is from RNAcentral. Lineage: Eukaryota; Viridiplantae; Streptophyta; Magnoliopsida; Rosales; Rhamnaceae.
AAGACCCCAAUGCGUCGCGGAUGCGGCGUCUCCAACGCGACCCCC